Molecule: ribosomal RNA, 825 nt
Filed under: Ramularia vizellae
Lineage: Eukaryota; Fungi; Ascomycota; Dothideomycetes; Mycosphaerellales; Mycosphaerellaceae
Description: eukaryotic LSU rRNA
Rfam family: Eukaryotic large subunit ribosomal RNA
Source: RNAcentral
AGGAAAAGAAACCAACAGGGAUUGCCCUAGUAACGGCGAGUGAAGCGGCAACAGCUCAAAUUUGAAAUCUGGCGCAAGCCCGAGUUGUAAUUUGUAGAGGAUGCUUCUAGGUAGCGACCGGUCUAAGUUCCUUGGAACAGGACGUCAUAGAGGGUGAGAAUCCCGUAUGUGACUGGCCCGCACCUUCUACGUAGCUCCUUCGACGAGUCGAGUUGUUUGGGAAUGCAGCUCUAAAUGGGAGGUAAAUUUCUUCUAAAGCUAAAUACCGGCCAGAGACCGAUAGCGCACAAGUAGAGUGAUCGAAAGAUGAAAAGCACUUUGGAAAGAGAGUUAAAAAGCACGUGAAAUUGUUGAAAGGGAAGCGCUCACAACCAGACUUCUAGGCAGUGUUCCGCCGGUCUUUUGACCGGUCUACUCUCUGUCUCGAGGCCAACAUCAUCUGGGACCGCUGGAUAAGACCUUAGGAAUGUAGCUCCCCUCGGGGAGUGUUAUAGCCUCUGGUGAUGCAGCGAGUCUCGGGUGAGGUCCGCGCUUCGGCAAGGAUGUUGGCGUAAUGGUUGUCAGCGGCCCGUCUUGAAACACGGACCAAGGAGUCUAACAUCUAUGCGAGUGUUCGGGUGUCAAACCCCUACGCGUAAUGAAAGUGAACGGAGGUGGGAAGCGUAAGCUGCACCAUCGACCGAUCCUGAUGUCCUCGGAUGGAUUUGAGUAAGAGCAUAGCUGUUGGGACCCGAAAGAUGGUGAACUAUGCCUGAAUAGGGUGAAGCCAGAGGAAACUCUGGUGGAGGCUCGCAGCGGUUCUGACGUGCAAAUCGAUCGUCAAAU